RNAcentral lists this unclassified non-coding RNA (558 nucleotides) under Hevea brasiliensis (rubber tree). Lineage: Eukaryota; Viridiplantae; Streptophyta; Magnoliopsida; Malpighiales; Euphorbiaceae. The record is from RNAcentral.
GCAGGUUUACCUGUAUACUCUGACUGGGCAAAUCGUCACAGUGGAACUUUUAGAAAUGUCUGGAAAAGGCAGUAAGGGAUUUGCUGCUGUUUGUUCCCCAAUACAUCUUCUCUUUUUCACCAUUGAGGGUUGAGUUGAGAGACGGAGGAGGAGGUUUUAGUCUAGUUAAAAAUGAUUGCAGGUUCUUUGUAGUCGUCAUUCAUCAUUCAGGCUUAUUUUUCUUCUCAAAUUCUGAUUUGCCAAAGUUGAAAGAGUGACAAUAUAGGGAUUUGGUCUCUCCCCGCAUCGAGGGAUUGAGUUGAGAGGCAGAUGGUUAUAGUCUAAUUAAAAAUGACUGCAGGUUCUUUGCAGUCGACAUUCAUCAUUCAGGGGUGCAAGUAUUGGGCAUUAAAUUUUUGUUUGCUCAGUCCAUCAGAACUAUGGGAAUGUCAAGGCAAUAUCAAAUAUGAGAUCUAGGUGGUGAUUGGAAAAUUUUCUAGGAAAGGUAAACGCGAAAUAGUAAUAUUUUCUUUUAAAUUUAUUGUUCAAAGUAGAGGCUUGUUGUAAUUUCGUGUAUCU